GUAUAACACUCCGAGCGAAAUGAUCUAAGGGCACAGCCUAUGAUCAUGAGCCGUCAGCUUUUUCCAUAAAAAAUGGAAAAAGACUGGCCGGGGCCAUGAAGGAAACCGAUUGACCUUCCCUUUUUGAAAAGGAGCGAAAGCAUAAC
Molecule: non-coding RNA, 146 nt
Filed under: chicken gut metagenome
Description: Moco (molybdenum cofactor) riboswitch
Rfam family: Molybdenum/Tungsten riboswitch aptamer (Moco RNA motif)
Source: RNAcentral